UACGGAGGGUGCGAGCGUUGUCCGGAAUCACUGGGCGUAAAGGGCGCGUAGGUGGCGGGUCAAGCGUGCGGUGAAAGCUCGGGGCUCAACCCCGAGUCGGCCGUGCGAACUAGCCUGCUUGAGCACUGUAGAGGCAGAUGGAAUUCCGGGUGUAGCGGUGGAAUGCGUAGAGAUCCGGAAGAACACCGGUGGCGAAGGCGGUCUGCUGGGCAGUUGCUGACACUGAGGCGCGACAGCGUGGGGAGCAAACAGG
This 253-nucleotide ribosomal RNA is filed under the name uncultured bacterium. RNAcentral describes it as "partial 16S ribosomal RNA". It matches the Rfam family "Bacterial small subunit ribosomal RNA", at positions 524 to 776 of the family's 1533-position model. The record is from RNAcentral.